UUCGACACACUAUCAUUAACUGAAUCCAUAGGUUAAUGAGGCGAACCGGGGGAACUGAAACAUCUAAGUACCCCGAGGAAAAGAAAUCAACCGAGAUUCCCCCAGUAGCGGCGAGCGAACGGGGAGGAGCCCAGAGCCUGAAUCAGUGUGUGUGUUAGUGGAAGCGUCUGGAAAGGCGCGCGAUACAGGGUGACAGCCCCGUACACAAAAAUGCACAUAUUGUGAGCUCGAUGAGUAGGGCGGGACACGUGGUAUCCUGUCUGAAUAUGGGGGGACCAUCCUCCAAGGCUAAAUACUCCUGACUGACCGAUAGUGAACCAGUACCGUGAGGGAAAGGCGAAAAGAACCCCGGCGAGGGGAGUGAAAAAGAACCUGAAACCGUGUACGUACAAGCAGUGGGAGCCUCUUAAUGGGGUGACUGCGUACCUUUUGUAUAAUGGGUCAGCGACUUAUAUUCUGUAGCAAGGUUAACCGAAUAGGGGAGCCGAAGGGAAACCGAGUCUUAACUGGGCGUUAAGUUGCAGGGUAUAGACCCGAAACCCGGUGAUCUAGCCAUGGGCAGGUUGAAGGUUGGGUAACACUAACUGGAGGACCGAACCGACUAAUGUUGAAAAAUUAGCGGAUGACUUGUGGCUGGGGGUGAAAGGCCAAUCAAACCGGGAGAUAGCUGGUUCUCCCCGAAAGCUAUUUAGGUAGCGCCUCGUGAAUUCAUCUCCGGGGGUAGAGCACUGUUUCGGCAAGGGGGUCAUCCCGACUUACCAACCCGAUGCAAACUGCGAAUACCGGAGAAUGUUAUCACGGGAGACACACGGCGGGUGCUAACGUCCGUCGUGAAGAGGGAAACAACCCAGACCGCCAGCUAAGGUCCCAAAGUCAUGGUUAAGUGGGAAACGAU
RNAcentral lists this ribosomal RNA (895 nucleotides) under Escherichia coli. RNAcentral describes it as "partial 23S ribosomal RNA". It matches the Rfam family "Bacterial large subunit ribosomal RNA", at positions 139 to 1074 of the family's 2925-position model. The record is from RNAcentral. Lineage: Bacteria; Pseudomonadati; Pseudomonadota; Gammaproteobacteria; Enterobacterales; Enterobacteriaceae.